This is a long non-coding RNA of Melozone crissalis (California towhee), 1459 nucleotides long. RefSeq lists it as uncharacterized. The record is from RefSeq and is a predicted model, not a curated record. The transcript is spliced from 4 exons. Lineage: Eukaryota; Metazoa; Chordata; Aves; Passeriformes; Passerellidae.
UCCCUUCUGCCCUCCUGUGCCUUGCCCUCCCGUACCUGAGGGUAUCGCCUCCCUGUCGGCAGGCUGGGAUUCCAUCUCCAACAUUCCCCUCCUCAUCCCCUUUUCCCAGCUCCGUCUCCUCUCCCAGAUCCCACCAGUGGCUAUUCACCAUCAACACCUGUUCGGGGUCCCUCGAAGUGUUUCGGUGUGUAUACUCUGUAUCACUGGGCAAAGAAAUGCCAGAACAUGAAAUCUCCUGUGUGCUCUGCAUCAGAGCAGCAGAAGCCAAGGACCAGUAACUGCCCUGGCACCAGUAACUCAGGGAUUUUGAUUUUCCUGAAACAGAUUUUCCUAUGUGCUGCUGAAAAGCUGAAAAAUGGGUCGAUGCUCAUUGAUGCCUAGAACGUGUCCUGGUUUGGGGGUAUCAGUGGAGAGUGAUUCUCCUGCUGCAGACCAACAGCAGAAAAACUGUGUGGAGCAUGAGGCAUCGUUUUGUUAGGCCUAACACCGUAUCUGCAUUGAAUAUUAGAACAGUUGGAUGUAUUUAGGUGUACUGUUGUGCCAAGAUAUUUUGUAGGUCUUACCACGUGCUAAAAACUAGAGGAUGGAUGAAAAAACCAAAGUGUAUUUUUUUUCUCAAUAAUAUAUUGGGAUGCAUCUUUUCAUUACCCAAGCAACUCUUACAUGAUAAGGCUGUAGCUGUGGUGCAAUGUGUUCAAGCUUCUCUCUGCACCCAUGAGAACAUUUUAAAAUUGAGACUUGAGUUUUUCUUUGGGGUAUGUACAGCCUACUGUGGUGUAGGUGUUGCAGUGCUGGACAAACUGGGAUAGCUGUGUGGCAUAGCUCCAUGUAAAGGUAUUAAUGCAGGUCUGGGACCAGUGCUUGGAUAAUUCCUUGUUAGCAGGGCCAAUGAGUUGUGCUUUAUGCAUUGGUAAUGUUAGUCCCUGCUGCUAAGUUUCUGGACCUUGUUGAGGUUUGGUCACAGUGUAGGACAGACACUUGUCUACUCACUUGAAUCCAAAAUCCAGAGCCACAAGGAGAAGGAAAUAGCAUCACACUGAUUGUGAUAGAAGUACAAUUUUGAAAAUGCUUUCACAAGGGAAAUUAUAGCUAAGGCAUUCAGCAGUGAUUACAUGAUUUCAAGUGCUUUCAUUUCCAGGUGCCCUACUAGCUACAUCUUCAAGAAAUCUUACUUUAUGAAAAUGGAUGCUCAGCAUUUCCAGGUUACCUGAAGAAAAUUGUCUUUUUGGAGUCCUAUUCUUGGCUGGAAGAUGUGGGGGAAAUGGGGAGUGAGGCACAAGAACAGAUUGCCCAGAGAAGCUUCUAGAGAACACAUCCCUAGGAUUGUUAAAGGCCAAGCUGGAUGGAGCUUUGAGCAACUUGGGCUAGUGGAAGUUGUCCAUGCCCAUGGCAGGGGAAAGAAGAGAAAGAACUUCUGAAAGGCUAGGAGAACAAAAAGAGAGAAGCCUCUGAAAUCCUU